This 88-nucleotide transfer RNA is filed under the name candidate division WWE3 bacterium CG_4_9_14_3_um_filter_39_7. RNAcentral's name for it is "tRNA-Leu". It matches the Rfam family "tRNA". Rfam says of the family: Transfer RNA (tRNA) molecules are approximately 80 nucleotides in length. Their secondary structure includes four short double-helical elements and three loops (D, anti-codon, and T loops). The record is from RNAcentral. RNAcentral also lists the same sequence under 1 other name. Lineage: Bacteria; candidate division WWE3.
GCCGGGGUGAUGGAAUUGGUAGACAUGCGGGACUCAAAAUCCCGUGCCCUUUAAAGGCGUGGGGGUUCGAUUCCCCCCUCCGGCACCA